Molecule: ribosomal RNA, 477 nt
Filed under: uncultured Massilia sp.
Lineage: Bacteria; Pseudomonadati; Pseudomonadota; Betaproteobacteria; Burkholderiales; Oxalobacteraceae
Description: bacterial SSU rRNA
Rfam family: Bacterial small subunit ribosomal RNA
Source: RNAcentral
GCGGCAUGCUUUACACAUAGCAAGUACGAACGGUAACGACGGGAGGCUUGCUCCGCUGACGAGUGGCGAACGGGUGAGUAAUAUAUCGGAACGUACCAGAAUGGGGGAGUAACGUAGCGAAGUUAACGCUAAUACCGCAUACGAUCUACGGAUGAAAGUAGGGGACCUUCGGGCCUUAUGCUUUUGGAGCGGCCGAUAUCUGAUUAGCUAGUUGGUGAGGUAAAGGCUCACCAAGGCGACGAUCAGUAGCUGGUCUGAGAGGACGACCAGCCACACUGGAACUGAGACACGGUCCAGACUCCUACGGGAGGCAGCAGUGGGGAAUUUUGGACAAUGGGCGCAAGCCUGAUCCAGCAAUGCCGCGUGAGUGAAGAAGGCCUUCGGGUUGUAAAGCCCUUUUGUCAGGGAAGAAACGGCUGUGGCUAAUAUCCACGGCUAGUGACGGUACCUGAAGAAUAAGCACCGGCUAACUACGUG